UAAAUACGAGAUGCUACGGCGUCGAAGCAGUGUAUGUCAGACUUCCAAGAAAAGCUCGCAAUGUCAUAAAUAAAGAAUGCCUGUACCAUAACCGACACAGGUGGGUAGGUAGAGUAUACUAAGGGGCGCGAGAUAACUCUCUCUAAGGAACUCGGCAAAAUAACUCCGUAACUUCGGGAGAAGGAGUGCCUUCUUUAAGAAGGUUGCAAUAACAAGAUCCAAGCAACUGUUUAUCAAAAACACAGGUCUCCGCUAAGUCGUAAGACGAUGUAUGGGGGCUGACGCCUGCCCAGUGCCAGAAGGUUAAAGAAGUUGGUUAGCUUUUGCGAAGCUGAUGACUGAAGCCCUGGUGAACGGCCCGUAACAAUAACGGUCCUAAGGUAGCGAAAUUCCUUGUCGGGUAAGUUCCGACCCGCACGAAGGGCGUAAUGAUUUGGAUACUGUCUCGGAGAGGGACUCGGUGAAAUAGACUUGUCUGUGAUGAUGCGGACUACCUGCACCAGGACAGAAAGACCCUAUGAAGCUUUACUGUAACUUGAAAUUGAAAUUGGACUUUAUUUGCGCAGUAUAGGUGGAAGGCGUUGAAAGUAAUCUUGCGGGAUUAGUGGAGCCAUCAGUGAGAUACCACUCCUAUAAUGUUAGAUUUCUAACUUUGGAUCAUGAUCUGGUCAAAGAACAGUUUCAGGCGGGCAGUUUGACUGGGGCGGUCGCCUCCCAAAUGGUAACGGAGGCGUACAAAGGUUUCCUCUGAACGGGUAGAAAUCGUAUCUAGAGUGUAAAGGCAUAAGGAAGCUUGACUGUGAGACCUACAAGUCGAGCAGGGACGAAAGUCGGUCUUAGUGAUCUGACGGUGCUGAGUGGAAAGGCCGUCACUCAACGGAUAAAAGUUACUCUAAGGAUAACAGGCUGAUCUCCCCCAAGAGUUCACAUCGACGGGGAGGUUUGGCACCUUGAUGUCGGCUCAUCGCAUCCUGGGGCGGUAGUACGUCCCAAGGGUUGGGCUGUUCGCCCAUGAAAGCGGUACGCGAGCUGGGUUCAGAACGUCGUGAGACAGUUCGGUCCAUAUCCGGUGUAGGCGUUAGAAUAUUGAGAGGAGCCUUCUUUAGUACGAGAGGACCGAGAAGGACAUACCUCUGGUGUACCAGUUAUCGUGCCAACGGUAAACGCUGGGUAGCUAUGUAUGGAGAGGAUAACCGCUGAAAGCAUCUAAGUGGGAAGCCCACCUCAAGAUGAG
RNAcentral lists this ribosomal RNA (1234 nucleotides) under metagenome. RNAcentral describes it as "bacterial LSU rRNA". It matches the Rfam family "Bacterial large subunit ribosomal RNA", at positions 1564 to 2808 of the family's 2925-position model. The record is from RNAcentral.